AUCACAUGAUGAGGGCUCUUACGAAGUAACUCUUUGAAUCACUCCCAAGCCUCAUACAAAGACUCGUCCUCUAAUUUUUGGAAAUUUUUUAUCUCGUUCCUUAACUU
This 107-nucleotide small nucleolar RNA is filed under the name Gossypium hirsutum (cotton). Its description in RNAcentral is "Plant small nucleolar RNA R71". It matches the Rfam family "Plant small nucleolar RNA R71". Rfam says of the family: R71 is a member of the C/D box family of snoRNAs containing the C (UGAUGA) and D (CUGA) box motifs. Multiple nearly identical copies of this snoRNA have been identified in Arabidopsis, and it is thought to function as a 2'-O-ribose methylation guide for 18S ribosomal RNA. The record is from Rfam by way of RNAcentral. Lineage: Eukaryota; Viridiplantae; Streptophyta; Magnoliopsida; Malvales; Malvaceae.